UUCCAAAGCAAAUUAUAAUUUUAGGAAGAAAAAAUAUCACUGAAUCACAGUUUCUCUAAGCCUCAGGGUAAUAAUUUUUCCUGUAAUAGUUAGAAACUCAAACCAUGUAUGGAUUGCAUAAAUUUUGAAUGCUUUGUUCUAUAAAAACAUGGUCCUUCAUGAAUAAUGGAGAAGCAAAGGAGAGAGAGAAGAAUCCAAGUAAAACAACACUUUUCUGGAUUCUGAGAAAAUUCCAGAUAGAGAACAAAAACCUUGCCAGCAUGUUCCACUUCAUAAACAACGAAACUAAGGUUGUUCUACUCAUUCUCUAAAUACAGGUUUAGAUGAGACUUGUUGGACUCAGUUCUUUCCUCCACCCAUGGCCUCUACUUGGGGAGCGGUCAAAUGUGGAAUUUCGAAUAUCAAAUACGUAUAAAAUAAAUAGAUGAAAGAGUACAUCUCAAAAGGGACCGGAGGGGAUUGAUUUUUUGUUUUGACUUAUUGUUUGAAGAUCUGUAACUCAAAGCAGCUCUCACGCCUCUGAUGUCUAAGCUGGAGCAGCAUAAAAGGAAGGGAAAAAUAAUCUCUUGAAGAACCUGGAGGGUCCGUAUGCUCCUUACUGAAAAGAAAAGAAAACUGCCUCAGAGUGAAGAACAAAGCUGGCCCCAGGCACAUGCUAAAGAAACUGUUCUUAUAUUUGGAGCUGAGUUUAAACUGCUCUCCCGUCUUCCCCAAGUCAAAUGAACAGCUUAUCAAGGAGAUCCCCCUGGGAAUUGGCAGAGUUCUGCCAUCAAGAUCUACAAUCAUAUGUCAAUAAUUGGAUGGUGCCCAAUUUUCAACAUGCUCGUGAAAGACUGAGAACUGUCUCAGAUAGCACAGAGCCUUCUUUUCAAGGGGUUUCAUCACUUGCACACACAGUACAUCUUUGGUUUAAAAUAGCAAGUGCCCUAGUGCAGACAUCUAAUCUAGAGAGAAGGAAGAGAGCAGAAUUCCCACACAGCUGCUGGAGGGCAGGGCCACAGGAGGGGUGAACAGGAGAUGCCACAAGGUCACCAUGAAGCACGACCUCAAAUGAUGUCAUUUAGCUGGGCCACACAAGGGUGAAACACAGCCUCAGCCCAUAGCUCAGUGUGCAGCAAACCCAGGUGAUUCUGAGCAAUCUGCAAGUAAUCUGUACAGCAAAGAAUCGACCCAACCAGCCAAAAAAAAAAGAAGAGUAUCCUCAUGAAUACUGCAUAAUCUGCAGGUCUCAUAAAAAACUUUCAUAUGAAACAUCAACAGCCACACUUUCAGAAGUAUCUUAUCGGAACAAAUAGGAAUAGAGUUCCCGUUUACUUUCCCCAGCCAUCAAUCUAGAAUAGUUGGUUAUCCCACAUCAUACAAAGAAUACAUAGCAUUAUCCACUGGGGUGCAGCAGGAAGAAAAUACUACAAUGUCAGUACAUAUUUUUAUAUGAAAAAUUUUAAGUUUUACCAGAAAUAUUUAACAUACAAAUUGCCACUGGGGCCCCCGUUUGCUCUGUAUGCCAGAUGGUCAAGAAUGCCAAGUGGACUGAAGAUAACAGUAAUAAUGUAAGCACAAAAAACAGCAAGAAAAUGGCAAAGCCAACAGUUCUACCUCUAAUAUCAACCCUUUAAGAGCUUGCAUUAAAGCUAAAAUCUGUAAUGACACUGGACAAGACUUGUCAAGAAGCUGACCAAAACAAUGAGAAAUUAUCAAUUUUAUUUGAAAUAACAGCCAUCAGAUAAUUAUACAGUUCAGGUAUAUAAUUCAUAAAUAAUUAUACAGUGGGCAAAAUUUUUAAUUGAUGAGGGCUUGCAGUAAAAUAAUUCUCACCAUGGAUUUAGAUAUCUGAAAUAUCAAUUGAUUUCACUUUUCUUCCUCUCAAUACGGAUUAAAUCAACUCCUUUCCUCACUGUACUGAUCUAACCUUCUGGAAGCAAGAUGGAGCCAUGGAAGCCAGAGUGGAAAAGAAAUGAAGCUGUGAUACUCACUGUGACAUGAAUGAACCCUGAAUACAUUACACUCAGUGAAAGAAGCCAAUCACAAAGGACUACACCCUAUAUGUGCCUAUGAUUCUAUUCUUAUGAAAUGUCUCAAAUAGGGAAAUAUGUUGAGACAAAAUAGGUUAGUAGUUGCUUAGGCCUGGGGUGAGCACUGAGGGAAUGAGAGAUAAGGGGAUAAUAGCUAAAGGCUAUGGGGUUACUUUCCGAGGUGAUGAAAAUGUCCUAAAACUGACUGUGAUGAUGGCUGCACUAACUAUGUGAAUAUACUAAAAACCACUACACUAUACACUCAAAGUGGGUAAAAUGUAUGCUAUGUGAAUUAUAUCGCAAUAAAAAUGAAACUAUUUU
Pan troglodytes (chimpanzee) is the source of this 2333-nucleotide long non-coding RNA. RefSeq lists it as uncharacterized. NCBI's taxonomy places the organism in Eukaryota, Metazoa, Chordata, Mammalia, Primates, Hominidae. The record is from RefSeq and is a predicted model, not a curated record. The transcript has 5 exons.